Molecule: ribosomal RNA, 485 nt
Filed under: uncultured bacterium
Lineage: Bacteria
Description: partial 16S ribosomal RNA
Rfam family: Bacterial small subunit ribosomal RNA
Source: RNAcentral
GACGAACGCUGGCGGCGUGCUUAACACAUGCAAGUCAAACGAUGAAGCCCUAGCUUGCUGGGGUGGAAGAGUGGCGAACGGGUGAGUAACACGUGAGUAACCUGCCCCUGACUCUGGGAUAAGCGCUGGAAACGGUGUCUAAUACUGGAUAUGACCUAUCACCGCAUGGUGUGUGGGUGGAAAGAUUUAUCGGUUGGGGAUGGACUCACGGCCUAUCAGCUUGUUGGUGAGGUAAUGGCUCACCAAGGCGCCGACGGGUAGCCGGCCUGAGAGGGUGACCGGCCACACUGGGACUGAGACACGGCCCAGACUCCUACGGGAGGCAGCAGUGGGGAAUAUUGCACAAUGGGCGCAAGCCUGAUGCAGCAACGCCGCGUGAGGGAUGACGGCCUUCGGGUUGUAAACCUCUUUUAGUAGGGAAGAAGCGAAAGUGACGGUACCUGCAGAAAAAGCACCGGCUAACUACGUGCCAGCCGCCGCGGUAA